This 89-nucleotide transfer RNA is filed under the name Staphylococcus aureus. RNAcentral describes it as "tRNA-Ser". It matches the Rfam family "tRNA". From Rfam's summary of the family: Transfer RNA (tRNA) molecules are approximately 80 nucleotides in length. Their secondary structure includes four short double-helical elements and three loops (D, anti-codon, and T loops). The record is from RNAcentral. Lineage: Bacteria; Bacillati; Bacillota; Bacilli; Caryophanales; Staphylococcaceae.
GGAAGGUUGUCCGAGCUGGCCGAAGGAGCGCGCCUGGAAAGUGUGUAGGCGUCACAAGCGUCUCAAGGGUUCGAAUCCCUUACCUUCCG